CGACCUCGUACAGUUCAAGAAUUAGUGUGCCUCAAUAAGUCUUACCGACCCAACAUUAUUUUUCUUUCUGAAACAAGGCAAACUAAAGAUUAUGUUGAGAGUUUGCGGUAUCGUUUGGGUAUGAAAAAUGUUUUUACAGUUUCGAGUAAAGCCAAAGACGGUGGUUUAGUGGUAUUCUGGGAUGAAUGCUUCUUUGUGGAGUUAAACAAAUUUGGUGAUCACUUUAUUGACUUGUAUAUCUGUAAGAGUGGUACCAAAAUGGAGAUGCACAUUGGUUUAUGGGGAACCGAAGGCGAGCCAGAGUUAUGUCAUGUGGAAGCUUUUGAUGACAACGGCAGAGCUAUGUAG
Molecule: ribosomal RNA, 348 nt
Filed under: Triticum aestivum (bread wheat)
Lineage: Eukaryota; Viridiplantae; Streptophyta; Magnoliopsida; Poales; Poaceae
Description: partial small subunit ribosomal RNA
Source: RNAcentral